UCGAUCCCUUCCUCAUGGCAGCCCUACUACAGCUUUUCAACACGCACCCCGGUACCUAACCUGGAACUUCGAAGCCGACGAGUACUGUCCAUGGCCACCAGUGCUCCAGCCGUCGCAGCUGCUAACGAAGCCAACAUUUCGUACUGCAAGACGGCGUGCUCUACAAGUGAAACUACACGCCCGAAGGCGACCGGCAUCUUCAUCCCGACAUCCCCAACAUCUUCACGGCACGAUACUGCAAGUAUUUCACGACGACCCAACUGCAGGGCAUUUAGGGUUUUUCAAAACAUACGAGCGAAUUCGCCGAAAGUUCUUUUGGCCGCGCCUGUACAAAAGCAUCUACAAAUAUGUUCUUUCUUGCCAGCUCUGCAAAAACGAAAGACAACUUCUUCAUCCUCCGGUGCCCUCCACUUGUUACCUCCCCCUGAGCAUCCUUUUGAACGCAUUGGGAUUGGGAUUUUCGGCCCACAACCGUUGUCUGCCUCUGGUAGCCGCUGGAUCGUGACUGCAAUCGACUACGCAACCAGGUUUGUCGUCGCCUCACCUUUCCCGUGUGCUACGGCGGCAGACGUAUGCAAGAACGAAUGCAGCUCUUUGGUGUUUCUUGCACGGGGAAAGUUCUGAACUGCCCUCUUUUUCUCAGGAUCAGGUUGCAGACCUACUGAGCGGAAACAGCCGAAAAUAUCACGAAGGUGGUGAAUGUGGUCCUGCAUGGGGCGAGAAAGAACGAGCACGACAUCCACCUCUCGAUCAUACGUUCACAUGUUGCAGCUGCGUUACGCAGCCUGGAGGACAUUACACGGAAUUUAUACAGGCCCUUUGGGAGGACGAUGGAAUUCCUCUACGCUAGUCCUGACCAGCAAUGAUGGAAUGGAACUGCGGGCAGAUGGACAUGGCCUCACACUAGAACGGUGCUGGUAGAACUGCCGUGCCAGUUCCGUAGCGCAUGGCAGGAGAGGCACAUCGUCGUCGUCGUCGUCCACGGGCCGCCACAUCACUCCCCCCCUCAGACGCGGAGCGGUGCAUGCGGUUGACGUCCCUGUCGAUACUAUAAAGAGGAGAAUGAGGACGACUCGCCAAUGGUGGACGACUGGACACACGGCAUGUGCUUGUGGCUGUUGAUGCAGCAGCAGCGGGAUGGCAGGGAACAAGAGCGCUGCGAUCGGGGCAGGUUCCAGUGAUGAGAUGUAAAUGCCUAUUGGUUGAGUGGUUGGGUGCUCGAGUCGUUGCUGAUUGUGUGGAGUGUUUGCUGAGUGCGUUGACCCCUUGUAGAGUGCGCUGAGUGCUUGCUGAAUGAUUACUGCGCCAUUAAACUCCGAAUCAUCAUCAUCAUCAUAAAAUAUCCUGCCCAAAACAAAGAGUUCACCAGGUUGGUGAGGCGAUUCCAUUAAACAUGAAACAGUGCGCCCGAACUGCGCCCCACACGAGCCCGUUCUCGCGGUUUGGACACGCGACGCGCGCGAUCCGUUACCGUUUUCCCAAGUAAGCGCACUGUUUUAUCACUUAAACAAAAGCAGAGCUGACCUGCCCCCCCUCCCCCCCAUUGUAGUACCCUCGCGAUAAAUCUUUUAUUACA
This is a long non-coding RNA of Ornithodoros turicata, 1576 nucleotides long. RefSeq lists it as uncharacterized. The record is from RefSeq and is a predicted model, not a curated record. The transcript has 4 exons. Lineage: Eukaryota; Metazoa; Arthropoda; Arachnida; Ixodida; Argasidae.